GAAGCCAGGCACCUGCUGCUCCUUCUGUCUUGGCUGCACGUCCAAGGACAGGGCACCCUGCCAGCCCCUGAGGAAGCGACCUCUUUGUGGGAGACCCUGGAGAUGGAUCCCUGGAUAGCCCAGGAGAGGCAGCAGUGGCAGCUGCUGGACACUGAGAUGGAGGAUUAUCUGAAGGAGUGUGAGCACAGAGGGGGAAGAGGGAACAGGAUCCGGAGGUUUGGGAGGCGAGAGCCCUGCACUGGGCCCUGAGCUCUCAGCACUUGGCAAAGCUCCUCUCCUGAGAACCUCCUGGCCGCCCCUGGAGCUGGGGCCUCAGGCACAUCUUAGCAAUGUGAGACCCAAGGCUCUGCAUAAGCCCCCCUCCAGGCUCCCUGGGCUGGGGGAGCUCAGAGCUGCCUGACUACAGAGCUGCAGGAGGUGGUGUCAGAGCUGGACUCAGCCUCUCCCUCAGGCCCUGCCCCUGGGGGAGUGAAGUCAGCCCCUGCAAGUCAGGAAGCACAUCCGUGGUCCAGCUGUCCCUUCCUUUCUGAGGGCUCAGUCUCCCUGUCUGUCAUCAGAGAGGUUGGAGCUACAGAGUCUGUGGCCUCAGUGCCCCUGUCCUGCCUGCGCUGGAGCCCAGAGCCUGGCCCAGGUUCAGGCUCUAUUGUGGCAGUGUCUGCCCUCUGCCAGGCCCUGGCAGUCCUGCAACCUGGGAAGGGGUGGGCUGGGGGCUAGUCAUGGGCCAAGGGGGCUGUUUCUGAUGGACAUUGGCUCUCUGCCUUCGAGGGAAAUAUGGUGAACUUCCAGAAAUGGAGUGAGGUGAGCAGCCGUGCCCUCGAUGUGGGGAGGGUGGGGCUGUGGAAAUCACAGAUGUCCCCUGCAAGACUUUCUCUGGCCUCAUCCCUUGGGUCUUAUCUUUAUUGGGAGAGUUAGAUACAGGCAGCUGGGGAUCCCAUCACAUUGGUGGGUGGGAGGAGGGGCUGACAUCGAGGACACCUUCCUGGAUGAGGAACUAUUUCAACCCAACUGUGAGAACAGGCACAUCCUGAAUGGAGUGGGAGGGAAGGAGGGUUCCCAAUGAGCAAAGACCCCAGAGCAGCUCCUCACUACCCACAAGUUCCUGGCUGGGUUCCCCCCCCAGGCCCUGUCUGCAUCCUGUCCUUCCUCCCAGAAAUUCAAGGUCAUUAAAAGGAUCCAGCUGCUCCAAGAGGCUGCCAAUGAAUGCCACCUGCAGCCCGAGGAGCAAUUUGGGGCCUGGUUCCAGGCCAUGGAGCCCCUCCGUGAGGAUGAGAGCUACAGCCUGUCCUGCCAGCUGGAGCCCCCAAACCUGAAGGUGAGCAAAAUGCGAGGCUUCUUCAGGACCAAGAAGAACCGGCCAUCCUCAAGAUUGGGGCUGACUGCCAUGCCCUUGGCCAGGAGCCAUCACACUCUAGAUGCCACCACAAGCUCAGCCUCUUCAGGCGCAGGGACAUGGCUGGGACCCUCGGGGUGCACCAGGCCAGCUCUUCCCACCCAGAUGUGAAGGAGGACGUUCCUGGGAGUUGUGGUGUGGUUCACCUCCUGUGCUCAUCUCAUAUAAAUGAGACACAGAACCUCACCUUCCUCCUUGAAUUAAGAACUGGUGCACGGUCACAGCUCAUUGUAUGUGGGACAAGGGAGGAAGGCCAGCCCCCUCCCUGGCAAGUUAAGGACCCCCCAAGUCCCCUUCCUUAGAGGACAGGUUCGUUUCAGUGUGGUUCCCCUGGGCCAGGAGCAGAGACAGCCCCUCAGAUCCCCCUGGAUUUAGAGGCUGGAGGGAUUUUCCCAGCAGAGCAACCAGCACAGAAAUGUGGGUCUUUCAGAUGGCACUUGCCAGGACCAUGUCCUUCCCCGGGACAGUGGCUGCCUUUCUACAGCUUUCGAAGAAGAAGGAAUGUUUUCUGCUUCUCUUGUGGAGCUUUCUUUUGAUCAAUUUUUGGAACGUGUAGUUUUCUAAUGAAUCUCUGGAAUUGCACUAACAGUAAAUGGGGAAAAAAUGUAAACAGAUAAAUCUUUGCAUGUGGAAAGGACAAGGCCAGAGGAAGACCAUUUGCAGACGGACUAAGGGCAGGCAGGAUAUCCC
Molecule: non-coding RNA, 2080 nt
Organism: Equus caballus (horse)
Lineage: Eukaryota; Metazoa; Chordata; Mammalia; Perissodactyla; Equidae
Source: RefSeq, a predicted model, not a curated record